Molecule: ribosomal RNA, 1439 nt
Filed under: uncultured bacterium
Lineage: Bacteria
Description: bacterial SSU rRNA
Rfam family: Bacterial small subunit ribosomal RNA
Source: RNAcentral
AGAGUUUGAUCAUGGCUCAGAACGUACGCUGGCGGCACGCCUAACACAUGCAAGUCGAACGAAGUAGCAAUACUUAGUGGCAGACGGGUGAGUAACAUGUAGGUAUCUGCCCUUUGGCCUGGAAUAACACGAGGAAACUUGUGCUAAUACCGGAUAAGUCUUUACGGAGAAAGCUUUAUGCACCAUUGGAUGAGCCUGCACUUGAUUAGUUUGUUGGUAGGGUAAUGGCCUACCAAGACUGUGAUCAAUAGCUGAUUUGAGAGGAUGAUCAGCCACAUUGGGACUGAGACACGGCCCAAACUCCUACGGGAGGCAGCAGUGGGGAAUCUUGCACAAUGGAGGAAACUCUGAUGCAGCGAUGCCGCGUGAGUGAAGAAGGCCCUUGGGUUGUAAAGCUCUUUCGUCGGGGAAGAAAAUGACUGUACCCGAAUAAGAAGGUCCGGCUAACUUCGUGCCAGCAGCCGCGGUAAUACGAAGGGACCUAGCGUAGUUCGGAAUUACUGGGCUUAAAGAGUUCGUAGGUGGUUAAAAAAGUUGGUGGUGAAAUCCCAGAGCUUAACUCUGGAACUGCCAUCAAAACUUUUUAGCUAGAGUAUGAUAGAGGAAAGCAGAAUUUCUAGUGUAGAGGUGAAAUUCGUAGAUAUUAGAAAGAAUACCAAUUGCGAAGGCAGCUUUCUGGAUCAUUACUGACACUGAGGAACGAAAGCAUGGGUAGCGAAGAGGAUUAGAUACCCUCGUAGUCCAUGCCGUAAACGAUGUGUGUUAGACGUUGGAAAUUUAUUUUCAGUGUCGCAGCGAAAGCGAUAAACACACCGCCUGGGGAGUACGACCGCAAGGUUAAAACUCAAAUGAAUUGACGGGGACCCGCACAAGUAGUGGAGCAUGUGGUUUAAUUCGAAGAUACGCGCAGAACCUUACCAACACUUGACAUGUUCGUCGCGACUUUAAGAGAUUAAAGUUUUCGGUUCGGCCGGACGAAACACAGGUGCUGCAUGGCUGUCGUCAGCUCGUGUCGUGAGAUGUUGGGUUAAGUCCCGCAACGAGCGCAACCCUCACUUUUAGUUGCCAUCAUUUAGUUGGGCACUCUGAAAGAACUGCCAGUGAUAAGCUGGAGGAAGGUGGGGAUGACGUCAAGUCCUCAUGGCCCUUACGUGUUGGGCUACACACGUGCUACAAUGGUAUCUACAACAGGAAGCAAGACUGCGAAGUUAAGCAAAUCCUUAAAAGAUACCUCAGUUCGGAUUGCACUCUGCAACUCGAGUGCAUGAAGCUGGAAUUACUAGUAAUCGUGGAUCAGCGUGCCACGGUGAAUGCGUUCCCGGGUCUUGUACACACCGCCCGUCACACCAUGGGAGUUGGUUCUACCUUAAGGCAAGGUUUCAAACCCUUGACCACGGUAUAGUCAGCGACUGGGGUGAAGUCGUAACAAGGUAACCGUA